GUGGUAGAUUCAGUUGUAGAGCUGGUGGUUUUAGGAGUUGUCGGUGAAGUAGGAGCCGUCGGAGAGGUACGAGUCGUUGGAGAAGAAGGACUCGUUGGCGAUGUAGGAAUCGUUGGUGAGGUAGGAGUCGUCAUUGAAGUAGAAGUCGUCGAUGAAGCAGUGGUAGACUCAGUUGUAGAGCUGAUGGUUUCAGGAGUUGUCGAUGAAACGGUGUUAGAUAGAGUUGUAGAGCUGGUGGUAGCAGGAGUCGUGGAUGAUAA
Anopheles coluzzii is the source of this 260-nucleotide long non-coding RNA. RefSeq lists it as uncharacterized. The transcript is spliced from 4 exons. NCBI's taxonomy places the organism in Eukaryota, Metazoa, Arthropoda, Insecta, Diptera, Culicidae. The record is from RefSeq and is a predicted model, not a curated record.